AACGAACGCUGGCGGCAGGCCUAACACAUGCAAGUCGAGCGAGCAUUUCGGUGCUAGCGGCGGACGGGUGAGUAACGCGUGGGAACGUGCCCUUUUCUGCGGAAUAGUCCUGGGAAACUGGGGGUAAUACCGCAUACGUCCUUCUGGGGCAAGAUAUAUCGGAGAAGGAUCGGCCCGCGUUGGAUUAGGUUGUUGGGGGGGUAAUGGCCCACCAAGCCGACGAUCGAUAGCUGGGUUGAGAGGAUGAUCAGCCACCCUGGGACUGAGACACGGCCCAGACUCCUACGGGAGGCAGCAGUGGGGAAUCUUAGACAAUGGGGGCAACCCUGAUCUAGCCAUGCCGCGUGAGUGAUGAAGGCCUUAGGGUUGUAAAGCUCUUUCAGCUGGGAAGAUAAUGACGGUACCAGCAGAAGAAGCCCCGGCUAACUCCGUG
RNAcentral lists this ribosomal RNA (433 nucleotides) under uncultured bacterium. RNAcentral describes it as "partial 16S ribosomal RNA". It matches the Rfam family "Bacterial small subunit ribosomal RNA", at positions 29 to 507 of the family's 1533-position model. The record is from RNAcentral.